AGUUGCACCCUGUUGGAGUUAAAGAGAUGAACAACACAUAUUUUUCUGAUCUCCCUCCAAUAAGCAGUAUACGGUGAAAAAGCCAAAUCUAAACCUUUGUAAGAUAAUUUAUAUGACCCAUGUAAAGUAGGCCUACUGCAAAAGUCAAGGUCAUGUGUUUUCAUAACCUCUUUAGCCAUUUUCGCUGAAGAAACUACCAGCGUUAACCAAAAUCCGAGUCGCAAGGACAUGAGAGAGCCAUACUUUUGAGAGAGUUUCCAAAGAAAAAUAUGAGGGGCUGAGUUAUCUAGCAUCUGCAUGUGUAAGUGACCGAUCAAGGGAAGGCCUGGAGGGCCAGGGGGAAGAAGAAUACUGCCGUUUCUUCUAUGUUUUAGCAGAAUGCAUAGGAAGAGACUGGGGAGGGCUAGAACAAAGAACAACAAAACUACCAUUUUGAUAUAAUCGAUUGAUGAAGCGACUUGUGACAAUUGAGAGCAAGAGUCCCCUUAUAUACACUAAUUAGCAGACACUUCUAACUAAAAAAUUUAAUGCAAGCUGACACUUGCAUUGUUGAAUAUUGCUCCUCUUUUUUGUACCAAGAUAAAUAUAGGAAGGAAUAAAUAUUUGAAAUUGCUUCUUUAUGUCAGGAACAAUAGGCAUUUGAAGGGGAAAUUAAUAAGGAAACGUAAUGUAAUGAAGGUCCGUCAUUCUACAUUAUAGUCAGCUUGGUAACACUACUGUUUUUUUCCCUGAUCGUGAUAUAUAGUAAAAAAAAAUUUAUGAAUUAUUGUUGUUACUGCUCCAUUUGUUCUAUUUUUUAUUGAAAUGUCACGGUGAGCUGCUGUCGUUUCCAGAAAAGGCCAAACGCAAGUUAAUUUUCUCGAUUUUGUUUAGGAUUUUGAGUUCUUAGGAAGAUUUGUUUUUGAAAAGUGAUUUAUUAACCUCUUCAAUCAAAGUGCCGGCCGUUCCAAGUCUCUUUCAAUUAAAAAACGAUUUUCAAUAACAUCAAUACUUGAUUUGGAUAGUAAGUAAUAUUGUACAAUUACCAAAAGAUUUACCGCACCAUCCUACAUGCGGACGGGGUCUUAAACCCUUCAAACCUAUCAAAAGAUUUCUCUUCAGGAAUAUGCUGUUGCUUUGUUCACGGAUUAUUUGCUGUUUGUUUUGUUUUGGAAUGAACGUUGAGAUUGGUGGUUCCAGGUUGUAUGGUCAACAAAGAAAAUGUACAAAUUUCCUCACGCUUGCCAAUAAUUGGCUUAUGCUUGAUUCUCGCGUCUCUGGUAAAUAUAAUGUUAUACAGAAAUUCAUAAAGCUGGAACCAAGUGUCAAAGAAGCAGAAUGUUUAGCUUCUCCUUAACGUCACCCUCUCCAUCAGAAUCCUUCAGUCCUUCACGGCAUCAUUUGAUCUUUAGACUGGUUAGUGGUCCAUUGCAGUAGGAACCAUACGUCUUCAUUGUUGAAUUUUCGCGAUAUGGGUUCAAUAAUGAAAGGUGAAAUCUCGCAGGCCAAUCCAAGAUUUUGAUUCCUCUAUGCCUAUCCAUCUGCAUUAUUGAGAAACGAUAAAGGCCUAAAUCCAAUAAUUACCGGUUCACAUGUAGUAUGAGUUAAUUAGAUGGAGAAUUUUGAUUCGAACAUAAAUUAAAUAUUUUGAAGUAAUUUGUCUUUGAUUAAGACUAUAAUAUAUAGAGUACUCUAUUGGGCCCAAAAUGAAUCAUUAGUUACUUUCAAUAAAAAAUUAAACAGAAUCGACCUAAUUACACAAAUAUUAAAGAAGUACAAAGAAAAUGUCGCAUCUAGUAUCGUAAUUAGUGAAUUCUAUGAUUCACGUGGUUCAAGCUCUUGCUGUACGACGUACUAGUUGGAAACUAGAAAAGAAGAAGACAAGUGUUGAUGCUUUCCUGCCUAUGGAUUUGCUGCAGUGAUGUUUAAUUAUAUAUUAACAUCUAUUGUACAUGAAUCCAGCUAAUUGAAAAUGAUGUUUGUCUAUUGCUAUUCACAUGAUGUUAUAUCUAAGAUGAAUCACGACGACAAGUUUUUUCUUUCUUUAGCUUUAUUGCUAGAUGUCAUCUUUUCUGUGUUGAUUUUCAUGGUUUUUCUUUAGCAUACCAGGUAUCACAUCAAAGUCUUCUUUAUUCAUCCCGGCCGGCAUUUCCCAAUCAAAUUUGUAAAGAAGAUUGGCAAGGGCAAGCUCCAAAGUUGAUACUCCCAUAUGCAAGUGACCGAUCAAGGGAAGACCUGGCGGGCCUGGGGGAAGAAGAAUAUUGCCAUUAUUUCUUUGUUUUAAGAGAAUGAAUAGGAAGAGGGUGGGGAGGGCUAGAACGAAGAACAGCAACACUACCAUUGUGAUCUAGUGAAACAACUUGUGAAAAUUGAGGGCAAGAGUCCCCUAAUAAAGAACUAAUUAGCCAACUCUUUUGACCAAAAUUUUUUUAAUAAAAAUUAAUGAUCAGAUUCAUAUGGCUGAUAUUAAUGAUCAGAUUCAUAUGGUUGAUAUUAAUGAUCAGAUCCAUAUGGUUGAUAUUAUCUCGCCAAUCAGGGGGAGGGUUGUUCAUUAAUGGGCUCGAGCCCCACAAAUUAAGUCCAAUGCUGUCACAAAACGCUUCACCGAGAAGGAUUCCUUACGUCUCCUCGCCAUGGAAAUUGGAAGCUUUGCUAGGUAGCUAGCAGCCUAUCAGUGAUGCAUUUCUUAUUUACAUUGAAAAAAAAAACGGUUCAAAAAAUAAUUUUAUCUAAAAUUUUUUCUUCAUAUGAGAAAAAAAAAAGAGAUUUGUCAAAAAAACUUGGUUUUCUCUUGACCAUUUUGUUCUUGAAAGUAUUUAGUUUCUCAUUGGUACAAAUUUCUCUUAAUUUGUGAAUUUAAGCUGAUGUGAGUGUCAUAUAUCUUUGCUCUUUCUACUCUGAUUCAAGUGCAUCAUAGGUUUCAUACACCUUACGAUAAUAAGAAAUGUUAACGUUUAAACGGACAACAUUUGUUAUUGUAUUCGAGUAAACAUAGAAAAUUAUUUACUUUUGAUAUUUAAUUUAUGAUAUAAUGGUCAAAUAAGUCUCUAAAUUAUUUAAAAAAAUUUAAAUAAGUUUUUAUUUUUUAUUGUGUUCAAUACUUUUAUUUCAAGUCAAAUAAAUCCAUAUAACUAAUGAAUGAUUAAUUAUCAUUAGUCAAAAUGUCGUCUGUCAUUUUAUAUCCACAUGACGUUGAUGUGGAGGAUGAAAAAUACCACAUGAUCAUGUUAUCAUGGUAAAUUAACACGUCACGUCAUUAUCAAUUAUGAUAUAUCAUCAUAUCAUAUUAUUAUCAAUUAUGAUAUAUUAGCAUGCUAUAUUAGUGUCAAGUGAUAUAAAAUGAUAAAUAGUAUUUUAAUUAAGUUAAUUAUUAGUCAUAAAGUCUUAUUUAAUUUAAAAUAAAAAUACAAUGACUUAUUUAAAAUUUUCAAAAUAAUUUAAAUAUUUUUUUUGAAUAUUAUUCCUUAAUUUAUUUUAAUUUAAGCGUUUUGUUACUUUGAUUUUUGGCAACUUUAUUUAUCAGUAAAUACUAUUUCAACAAAAAAGUUAUAGAGACAAAUUUAAUUGAUUUAAAUGAGUUUCAAGUCAAUAAGUGAUGUCUCCUUGUAUUAAUUUAAGAAUUCGGAAACUUAAAAAACAUUGAAUUGAUCACUCAACUAGAAUAUCAUGGAUUACUCAAAAGAAAGUUAAAUUACAUUACAUUAAUUAAUGAUCAUUAGGUUAUCGUUUUUGAAACAAAAACAACUUAAAAAUUAACAUUAACAAACAUGGAUUUAUUAUAAAACAUACACAACAUAAAAUGUUGUUGACACUCCAAACUAGAGCAAGCUAGCAGCAAUUAAGUUACUAGGAUAACCUUACAUGCAUUAAACAUUAAUUUCUUUGGCCACAAGGCAAAGAGCAUUUUUUGUGUGUGUAGUGAUACCGGGUAUCACAUCAAAGUCUAAGUCUUCCUUGUUCAUCCCUGUUGGCAUUUCCCAAUCAAAUUUGUAAAGAAGAUUAGCAAGGGCAAGCUCCACAGUCACAACUCCCAUAUGUAUUCCGGGACAACCCCUUCUACCGGCACCAAAAGGUAUGAGCUCGAAGUCUAGUCCUUUAUAGUCAAUAGAGCUGCCAAUGAAUCUCUCCGGAUAGAAUUCUUCUGGGUUUUCCCAAGCUUCAGGGUCUCUUCCAAUUGCCCACGCAUUCACAUAAACUAAGGUUUUGGCAGGUAUUUCAUAUCCGCUUAUGUUGCUCUUUCGCAUUGUUUCUCGUGGCACCAACAAUGGAACUAUUGCUUGCAAUCUGAAUGUUUCUUUUAUCACAGCUUUAAGAUAAGUUAAGGCUUGAGUAUCAUCUUCAUUUACAAAAUCUUUUUUCCCCAUCAAACUUCUCACUUCCUCUUGAGCUUUCUUCAAACACCUAGGAUUUUUCAUUAGGAAGGUCAUGACCCAAAUCACACUGGCAGCGCUAGUGUCCGUUCCAGCAACAAACACAUUCUACAUAAGAGAAAGAAAAAAAGACAUGAGGUAAUAUAUAUAUAUUCCAAGAAUGUUGAAGCUAUAAAAUUAAUUAAUGAUAAUACUUAAUACUAUAAUAAAGUAAAUUUUUGAGUGAGGAUUGACCAUUAGCACAGCUUUUAUGUGAUCUAUAGUGAGAUCAACCGCAAAUUCACGAUCCUUCCAAAUUUGUAGUAAGACAUCGAUUAUGUCUUCUUGCUCCAAUUUUGACCUAUUUGGAUCAAGAUGCUCGUCGAUGAGUUUUUGAUAGAAGGUAUCAAAUUCUUUAAAAAAAUUUUCAACAUGCUUGAGCAAUCCGGAGAUUCUAUCAACCCAAUUCAUGAAAGGAAAAUAAUCAGAAAUAAAGAAUUCCACGAACAGGGCUUGGGCUUCAUUAAGCAUCUCAUGGAAUCUGCUUCUUUCAGUUCCUUUGUCUUCAUACCUCUUGCCGAAUCCUACUCUGCAAAUUAUUGUACUGGUAAGACACAUCAUUGCCUCACUCAAAUUGACAGGCUUAGAAUCAACAGAUAAUUUGGAUAUUUUUGCAAUCAGGCGAGAAACUUCAUCUUCUCGAAUGGGACGAUAGAGUUGCACCCUGUUGGAGUUAAAGAGAUGAACAACACAUAUUUUUCUGAUCUCCCUCCAAUAAGCAGUAUACGGUGAAAAAACCAAAUCUAAACCUUUGUAAGAUAAUUUAUAUGACCCAUGUAAAGUAGGCCUACUGCAAAAGUCAAGGUCAUGUGUUUUCAUAACCUCUUUAGCCAUUUUUGCUGAAGAAACUACCAAGGUUGGCCUAAAUCCAAAUCGCAAGGACAUGAGAGGGCCAUACUUUUGAGAGAGUUUCCAAAGAAAAAUAUGAAGGGCUGAGUUAUCUAGCAUCUGCAU
This 5342-nucleotide long non-coding RNA is filed under the name Theobroma cacao (cacao). RNAcentral describes it as "long non-coding RNA (TCAC_LNC004710)". The record is from RNAcentral. Lineage: Eukaryota; Viridiplantae; Streptophyta; Magnoliopsida; Malvales; Malvaceae.